Molecule: ribosomal RNA, 443 nt
Filed under: uncultured bacterium
Lineage: Bacteria
Description: partial 16S ribosomal RNA
Rfam family: Bacterial small subunit ribosomal RNA
Source: RNAcentral
UCUACGGUGUGCAGCAGUGGGGAAUAUUGGGCCAUGGGCGCAAGCCUGACCCAGCAACGCCGCGUGAAGGCAGAAGGCUUUCGGGUUGUAAACUUCUUUUCUCAGGGACGAAGCAAGUGACGGUACCUGAGGAAUAAGCCACGGCUAACUACGUGCCAGCAGCCGCGGUAAUACGUGGGUGGCAAGCGUUAUCCGGAUUUCCUGGGAGUAAAGGGCGUGCAGGCGGGACUGCAAGUCAGAUGUGAAAACCACGGGCCCACCCUGUGGCCUGCAUUUGAAACUGUAUUACUUGAGUACUGGAGAGGCAGACGGAAUGCCUAGUGUAGCGGUGAAAUGCGUAGAUAUUAGGAGGAACACCAGUGGCGAAGGCGGUCUGCUGGACAGCAACUGACGCGGAGGCGCGAAAGCGUGGGGAGCAAACAGGAUUAGAUACCCCAGUAGUC